RNAcentral lists this ribosomal RNA (364 nucleotides) under uncultured Coriobacteriales bacterium. RNAcentral describes it as "bacterial SSU rRNA". It matches the Rfam family "Bacterial small subunit ribosomal RNA", at positions 9 to 339 of the family's 1533-position model. Lineage: Bacteria; Bacillati; Actinomycetota; Coriobacteriia; Coriobacteriales. The record is from RNAcentral.
AGUAGUUUGAUCAGUGGCUCGAGGACGAACGCUGGCGGCGUGCCUAACACAUGCAAGUCGAGCGGGGACAUGCGACGGAGUGGAAGUUUUCGGACGGAAGCGAAGAUGUAUGUUCUAGCGGCGGACGGGUGAGUAACGCGUGAGCAAUCUGUCCUUCACGAGGGGGAUAACACAGCGAAAGUUGUACUAAUACCGCAUAAGACCACAACGGGACAUCCCGAAGGGGUCAAAGGAGCAAUCCGGUGGAGGGUGAGCUCGCGUCCGAUUAGAUAGUUGGUGAGGUAACGGCCCACCAAGUCGACGAUCGGUAGCCGACCUGAGAGGGUGAUCGGCCACAUUGGGACUGAGACACGGCCCAAACUCC